This 1131-nucleotide ribosomal RNA is filed under the name Salmonella enterica. Its description in RNAcentral is "bacterial SSU rRNA". It matches the Rfam family "Bacterial small subunit ribosomal RNA", at positions 1 to 1123 of the family's 1533-position model. The record is from RNAcentral. Lineage: Bacteria; Pseudomonadati; Pseudomonadota; Gammaproteobacteria; Enterobacterales; Enterobacteriaceae. RNAcentral also lists the same sequence under 1 other name.
AAAUUGAAGAGUUUGAUCAUGGCUCAGAUUGAACGCUGGCGGCAGGCCUAACACAUGCAAGUCGAACGGUAGCACAGAGAGCUUGCUCUCGGGUGACGAGUGGCGGACGGGUGAGUAAUGUCUGGGAAACUGCCCGAUGGAGGGGGAUAACUACUGGAAACGGUAGCUAAUACCGCAUAACGUCGCAAGACCAAAGUGGGGGACCUUCGGGCCUCACACCAUCGGAUGUGCCCAGAUGGGAUUAGCUAGUAGGUGGGGUAACGGCUCACCUAGGCGACGAUCCCUAGCUGGUCUGAGAGGAUGACCAGCCACACUGGAACUGAGACACGGUCCAGACUCCUACGGGAGGCAGCAGUGGGGAAUAUUGCACAAUGGGCGCAAGCCUGAUGCAGCCAUGCCGCGUGUAUGAAGAAGGCCUUCGGGUUGUAAAGUACUUUCAGCGAGGAGGAAGGCGUUGUGGUUAAUAACCACAGCGAUUGACGUUACUCGCAGAAGAAGCACCGGCUAACUCCGUGCCAGCAGCCGCGGUAAUACGGAGGGUGCAAGCGUUAAUCGGAAUUACUGGGCGUAAAGCGCACGCAGGCGGUUUGUUAAGUCAGAUGUGAAAUCCCCGGGCUCAACCUGGGAACUGCAUUUGAAACUGGCAAGCUUGAGUCUCGUAGAGGGGGGUAGAAUUCCAGGUGUAGCGGUGAAAUGCGUAGAGAUCUGGAGGAAUACCGGUGGCGAAGGCGGCCCCCUGGACAAAGACUGACGCUCAGGUGCGAAAGCGUGGGGAGCAAACAGGAUUAGAUACCCUGGUAGUCCACGCCGUAAACGAUGUCUACUUGGAGGUUGUGCCCUUGAGGCGUGGCUUCCGGAGCUAACGCGUUAAGUAGACCGCCUGGGGAGUACGGCCGCAAGGUUAAAACUCAAAUGAAUUGACGGGGGCCCGCACAAGCGGUGGAGCAUGUGGUUUAAUUCGAUGCAACGCGAAGAACCUUACCUGGUCUUGACAUCCACGGAAGUUUUCAGAGAUGAGAAUGUGCCUUCGGGAACCGUGAGACAGGUGCUGCAUGGCUGUCGUCAGCUCGUGUUGUGAAAUGUUGGGUUAAGUCCCGCAACGAGCGCAACCCUUAUCCUUUGUUGCCAGCG